RNAcentral lists this ribosomal RNA (213 nucleotides) under uncultured bacterium. RNAcentral describes it as "partial 16S ribosomal RNA". It matches the Rfam family "Bacterial small subunit ribosomal RNA", at positions 1290 to 1500 of the family's 1533-position model. The record is from RNAcentral.
AGUUCAGAUCGCAGUCUGCAACUCGACUGCGUGAAGUCGGAAUCGCUAGUAAUCGCGGAUCAGCAUGCCGCGGUGAAUACGUUCCCGGGCCUUGUACACACCGCCCGUCACACCAUGAGAGUCGGGAACACCCGAAGCCCGUAGCCUAACUUUAACGAGGGGGCGCGGUCGAAGGUGGGUUCGAUAAUUGGGGUGAAGUCGUAACAAGGUAGC